CUCAGAAACAUUCCGCCCACACCCUAGCCCCUCCGGGGCUCUCUCCUACUCUCCCAGCUCUUAUCAGGGUAUUUUUCAAAGUAAAUCCAUUUCCCUUUCUAGGGGGAAUUCUGGUGCCAACUAUUAAAAUAACCUUCCUCUGCUUUGUUACACGUGAUGCACCACUUUUCAUCUUGGGGCCGCUUGGGAUGGACAGCAGGAGGUUCCGUGUACUUUAGAGCUUGGAGUUAAGAAGUCGACUCAGGAGUAUGAUCCAUGCACAACAGAGAAAUCCUACUGAAAACUGCAAAUGCCAGAUGCCCAGCCCAUUCUUCGAAGAAAGCAAUGGCACCCCACUCCAGUACUUCUGCCUGGAAAAUCCCGUGGACGGAGAAGCCUGGUAGGCUGCAGUCCAUGGGGUUGCUGAGGGUCGGACACAACUGAGCGACUUCACUUUCACUUUUCACUUUCAUGCAUUGGAGAAGGAAAUGGUAACCCACUCCAGUGUUCUUGCCUGGAGAAUCCCAGGGAUGGGGGAGCCUGGUGGGCUGCUGUCUAUGGGGUCACACAGAGUCGGAG
Long non-coding RNA from Bos indicus x Bos taurus (hybrid cattle), 558 nucleotides. NCBI's taxonomy places the organism in Eukaryota, Metazoa, Chordata, Mammalia, Artiodactyla, Bovidae. The record is from Ensembl.